RNAcentral lists this long non-coding RNA (226 nucleotides) under Phoenix dactylifera (date palm). Its description in RNAcentral is "long non-coding RNA (PDAC_LNC022641)". The record is from RNAcentral. Lineage: Eukaryota; Viridiplantae; Streptophyta; Magnoliopsida; Arecales; Arecaceae.
GAGUUGGAUCGGCCUUACUUGGUCCGAUCCGUCGCCCUCGCAUGUUGUGGGGCUCGGUCCCGUCCCGUUCGGUGAAAUCUUUGUCCGCUCUGGUGCGUCCCUGUGGGUUCCUUUGUCGGUUUUGCGGGCUCGGCGCCGGGCCUUCCGCGCCGGUCCGUCGGCUCGCUCGGACGGACCGUGCGCAGGUGGUCCCCGACGGAGCCGGCAAGCUCCUUCCGCUGGCGCG